CAAAAACACUCAAAACUGGUGAUUUCUAAGUGAAGGCAACCCGUGACGGUCAGCGAAACGAAAAUGUUUCUCCUCCCUCCCAGGGUGGCAAUUGUAGGUAAACCCAUACUUGAGUUUUAGGCACAGGGUGGUGUAUUGAGUUAUCUGAAGUUCUCAUGAAUGCAUAUAAAAACUGAAGUCUGCCAGAAAAAGGAUGACAAUCUACUCCUUGACUGGCCUCAAACCCUACCUGCAAAUAGGCGCCUCCUAAUGGGAAAAAGGAUGAAUCAUAAUUUUAGGAUUCUCAAGCACCGUGAUCUAUUCGUCACUCAUAAUAACUUCUCAUAUUUUGGAUGAGGAGCCUGAGACUGAGAAUCGAUUAAAAUUAUCUCACGCGUUCUGGAGAUGGAGAACAUACCCAGCACUCUGCUGCCUAAUAAG
This 420-nucleotide long non-coding RNA is filed under the name Vulpes vulpes (red fox). RNAcentral describes it as "lncRNA (ENSVVUG00000027626.1)". The record is from RNAcentral. Lineage: Eukaryota; Metazoa; Chordata; Mammalia; Carnivora; Canidae.